CACAGAUGUAGAGCUGGAAAGGACUGCUUUUCUAGAGCACUGGUCUUCAAAGGAGAAUUUUGUUGUUCAGUUGUUUCAGUCGUAUCUGACUAUUCCUGACUCCAUUUAGGAUUUUCUCAGGCAAAGAUUCUGGGGUGGUUUGCCAUCUCCUACUCCAGGGAAUUUUCCAGAUGAGGAAACUGAGGCAAACAGGAUGACGUGACUUAUCUAGGGUCAAAUUAGCUAGUAAGUAUCUGAGGCUGGAUUUGAACUCAGGAAGAUGAGUCUUCUUGACUUCAGGCCCAGUUCUCUAACCACUGUACUGCCCUGCCCUUCAAAAGAAAGUAUGAUCAUCCAAAAGGAUGGUGGGAAGAAAGGUCAAAUCCUAUUCUCCUCUUGCUAGCCAACAAUGGGGUUUGGUGUCAGUACAACAAUAUUCCCCCCAAUAUUCCCCAACGCUCUCUUUCCUCAGCUGUUCAAGCUCCCAAUAUCCCCAGCUCCUGAGCCAUGGAGUGGGCUCAUAGGUUAAAUCUAACCCAUUCUGAAUACCCACAGCAGCAGCUGCAUAGUUUCCAGCAUACCCACCCCUGGACCCUGAUGGUUCAUGGAUGCAACAGGUGCUCCUUGCAGGCUCUUCGCUCUAAGGCAGUGACUGCCUUGUGGGUGAAUAUUUGCCAUUCUGAAGGAGUCAGGAGGAUUGGAGUGAUCCCGUGGCGGCCAGCACUAUCUGGACCAGCUGCUCCCUCCUCCUCUGGAGGGAGAACCCAAGUAAUGAGCUUCAGGCUCAGGCUGGGACAACCCAUUGCUGUUACCAUGGAGGCAGAGCUCAGGAAAGGUUCGGCUGGAAUUCUCUGAGCUUCUCCUCUUGUGAUCCCGGGCCAGCUGCUCUGCCUCAAAAGGCCCAUCUUCCAGGCCCAGGAGGAAGAUGCUGCUCUCGUGACCUACAAAACAGCCACUCUCCUCCCGGAAAAUCAGCCCAACUCAGCUUUGGGGAAGCGGCCAUUUUGAAGAAGUAGGGAGCUUGCUUGCUAGCUGUGGCCCCAGGCUGGACGCUUGCCAAUCCCAGGUUAGAAAGCCUUGACAGCCACCAACCAAAGACUUGGCAGGGAGGGGACCAGCCUGUUUUCCUCAAGAAACUGAAGGGAUGUCUUAGAGAGGAGAGUUCAGACUUGUUCUAUAGGCCUCAGAAGGCAGAGCUAGGAAGAGGGAAGGGGGCUGAGCUGCCAAGAGACCAGCUUGAUAUCAGAAUAAACAACAACAACCUUCCUAACCA
This 1252-nucleotide long non-coding RNA is filed under the name Monodelphis domestica (gray short-tailed opossum). RNAcentral's name for it is "lncRNA (ENSMODG00000035732.2)". The record is from RNAcentral. Lineage: Eukaryota; Metazoa; Chordata; Mammalia; Didelphimorphia; Didelphidae.